CAGGACGAACGCUGGCGGCGUGCCUAAUACAUGCAAGUCGAGCGAUGAUUAAAGAUAGCUUGCUAUUUUUAUGAAGAGCGGCGAACGGGUGAGUAACGCGUGGGAAAUCUGCCGAGUAGCGGGGGACAACGUUUGGAAACGAACGCUAAUACCGCAUAACAAUGAGAAUCGCAUGAUUUUCAUUUAAAAGAAGCAAUUGCUUCACUACUUGAUGAUCCCGCGUUGUAUUAGCUAGUUGGUAGUGUAAAGGACUACCAAGGCGAUGANACAUAGCCGACCUGAGAGGGUGAUCGGCCACACUGGGACUGAGACACGGCCCAGACUCCUACGGGAGGCAGCAGUAGGGAAUCUUCGGCAAUGGGGGCAACCCUGACCGAGCAACGCCGCGUGAGUGAAGAAGGUUUUCGGAUCGUAAAACUCUGUUGUUAGAGAAGAACGUUAAGUAGAGUGGAAAAUUACUUAAGUGACGGUAU
This 473-nucleotide ribosomal RNA is filed under the name Lactococcus garvieae. RNAcentral's name for it is "bacterial SSU rRNA". It matches the Rfam family "Bacterial small subunit ribosomal RNA", at positions 25 to 478 of the family's 1533-position model. The record is from RNAcentral. Lineage: Bacteria; Bacillati; Bacillota; Bacilli; Lactobacillales; Streptococcaceae.